RNAcentral lists this unclassified non-coding RNA (411 nucleotides) under uncultured Ganodermataceae. RNAcentral's name for it is "sequence contains ITS2". The stretch from base 1 to 154 matches the Rfam family "5.8S ribosomal RNA". The record is from RNAcentral. Lineage: Eukaryota; Fungi; Basidiomycota; Agaricomycetes; Polyporales; Polyporaceae.
AACUUUCAGCAACGGAUCACUUGGCUCUCGCAUCGAUGAAGAACGCAGCGAAAUGCGAUAAGUAAUGUGAAUUGCAGAAUUCAGUGAAUCAGCGAAUCUUUGAACGCACCUUGCGCUCCUUGGUAUUCCGAGGAGCAUGCCUGUGUGAGUGUCAUGAAAUCUUCAACCUAUAAGCUUUUGUGGUUUGUAGGCUUGGACUUGGAGACUUGUCGGCCUUGAUCGGUCGGCUCCUCUUAACUGCAUUAGCUUGAUUCCUUGCGGAUCGGCUCUCGGUGUGAUAAUAUCUACGCCGCGACCGUGAAGUGUUUGGCGAGCUUCUAACCGUCUCACUUGAGAGACAACUUUAUGACCUCUGACCUCAAAUCAGGUAGGACUACCCGCUGAACUUAAGCAUAUCAAUAAGCGGAGGCU